Molecule: ribosomal RNA, 603 nt
Filed under: uncultured bacterium
Lineage: Bacteria
Description: bacterial SSU rRNA
Rfam family: Bacterial small subunit ribosomal RNA
Source: RNAcentral
GCAGUCGAACGGUAACAGGAAAUAGCUUGCUAUUUUGCUGACGAGUGGCGCACGGGUGCGUAACGCGUAUACAAUCUACCUUUUGCUGAGGGAUAGCCCAGAGAAAUUUGGAUUAAUACCUCAUGGUAUUAUUGAUAGGCAUCUAUUAAUAAUUAAAGGUUACGGCAAAAGAUGAGUAUGCGUCCCAUUAGCUAGUUGGUGAAGUAACGGUUCACCAAGGCAACGAUGGGUAGGGGUCCUGAGAGGGAGAUCCCCCACACUGGUACUGAGACACGGACCAGACUCCUACGGGAGGCAGCAGUGAGGAAUAUUGGACAAUGGGCGAGAGCCUGAUCCAGCCAUGCCGCGUGCAGGAAGACUGCCCUAUGGGUUGUAAACUGCUUUUAUACAGGAAGAAUAAGCCUUACGUGUAAGGUGAUGACGGUACUGUAAGAAUAAGGACCGGCUAACUCCGUGCCAGCAGCCGCGGUAAUACGGAGGGUCCGAGCGUUAUCCGGAAUUAUUGGAUUUAAAGGGUCCGUAGGCGGAUGAUUAAGUCAGGGGUGAAAGUUUGCAGCUCAACUGUAAAAUUGCCUUUGAUACUGGUCAUCUUGAGUUGUAUUG